This 460-nucleotide ribosomal RNA is filed under the name uncultured bacterium. RNAcentral describes it as "partial 16S ribosomal RNA". It matches the Rfam family "Bacterial small subunit ribosomal RNA", at positions 338 to 795 of the family's 1533-position model. The record is from RNAcentral.
CCUACGGGAGGCAGCAGUGAGGAAUAUUGGUCAAUGGACGAGAGUCUGAACCAGCCAAGUAGCGUGAAGGAUGACUGCCCUAUGGGUUGUAAACUUCUUUUAUAUGGGAAUAAAAUGUUCCACGUGUGGGAUUUUGUAUGUACCAUAUGAAUAAGGAUCGGCUAACUCCGUGCCAGCAGCCGCGGUAAUACGGAGGAUCCGAGCGUUAUCUGGAUUUAUUGGGUUUAAAGGGAGCGUAGGUGGAUUGUUAAGUCAGUUGUGAAAGUUUGCGGCUCAACCGUAAAAUUGCAGUUGAAACUGGCAGUCUUGAGUACAGUAGAGGUGGGCGGAAUUCGUGGUGUAGCGGUGAAAUGCUUAGAUAUCACGAAGAACUCCGAUUGCGAAGGCAGUUCACUGGACUGCAACUGACACUGAGGCUCGAAAGUGUGGGUAUCAAACAGGAUUAGAUACCCCAGUAGUC